This 253-nucleotide ribosomal RNA is filed under the name uncultured bacterium. RNAcentral's name for it is "partial 16S ribosomal RNA". It matches the Rfam family "Bacterial small subunit ribosomal RNA", at positions 524 to 776 of the family's 1533-position model. The record is from RNAcentral.
UACGUAGGGACCGAGCGUUGUCCGGAAUCAUUGGGCGUAAAGAGCGUGUAGGCGGCUAUUUAAGUCCUGCGUGAAAUCCCACGGCUCAACCGUGGAACUGCUGGGCAUACUGCGGGUCUUGGGCCAACUAGGGGCAGCCGGAACAAGCGGUGGAGCGGUGAAAUGCGUAGAUAUCGCUUGGAACGCCGAAGGUGAAAACAGGCUGCUGGGGUUGCGCCGACGCUGAGACACGAAAGCCAGGGGAGCAAACGGG